This 3577-nucleotide ribosomal RNA is filed under the name Triticum aestivum (bread wheat). Its description in RNAcentral is "partial small subunit ribosomal RNA". The record is from RNAcentral. Lineage: Eukaryota; Viridiplantae; Streptophyta; Magnoliopsida; Poales; Poaceae.
CACCUUCCGAGUGUUCCUGUAUCACAUAAUACUUAAUUAACAGCUUGGUUAAACAAACCACGGUGGUUAACGUUCUCCACGAGUCGAGGCCGCAAGUAGCAACUUCUUCUGGUAACCGGGGGUUCCCCGUCACCGACUACUGCGAGGACGAGGUCGGUACCGCUCGUCGUCAUUACCGUAGCGAGGACUCAGGCUCUUCUCGUUACUAUUACAACCUCGAUGUCGGGACUUAGUCUAGCUGCACGACGACCGUUCCCGUACGCUAGAUAGCGCGGUUCACGGAUGAAGUUCACGGGCUGAGUCGGUGUCGCUCCCGUAAGAAGGUGGGCCCGUGCCAAAACUACGACUUUGGUGCUUCCUCCCGGAGAGCUUCCUUCGGCGUGAAGAGAUGGGUCCGUGGCUCCGGAAAGGCCUAGGGGCGCGGCGGCUCUCGUACGGCAGAGACCCGAGUCUCUGCCGUCCCCUCCUCCCCCUCCAGCUGGAAGCCGCUGGCCUCCGCCUCCUCUGCUACUACCUCGAGAGCGCGCGUACGCCGCUCGACCCCUGCGGGGGCAUGGGGGUCGCGGCAAGCUCACGCGCGGACGCCGGCGUCGUCCGCGGCUGCCGGUGUGUCAUGCUCAAGCACUUCUCUAGGUGGUUCUCCUUCGCUCGAGCACCGUGGCACAUACUUUUGCUUCGGUUAUACUUCGAAUUCUCCCCUAAGUUGUUCUGGUAGUCCACGAGCGAGUUCCUCAAGAAGCUCACGCGCCUCGACGAGUUCCUGGCCGUGGACCGCUCCCAGGCGUUCCGUCCGAAGCCGCGGUACGACCUGCCGUUCCAGUCCCCCGAUUAGUCGGCCGGAGAGUAGCCGAAGGAGUACCCGUUCUAUCUGGGUCGUUCGUACUGUUACUUCGAGCCCCUUAGUUUCCAGCAACGAUAGUGAUCACUACGGUAAGUGGUGGAAAAGCCGGACGGAGUUCCUCCCGUGUGCCGGGGCUCCGGGCGUCUUUCGCCGAUGCUGUUCCGUCACUACUUCGACUUCGUUCUCGAGCCCAAAUUUUCCAGACUAUAGUAGUACUGCUCCCUAGACGCCCCAGACGAAUUCGCCGACCACCUCCUGUUCCUCUUUCUACUCAACCGCGAGUUCCAAAAAAAGAACCAACAAAAGUACUUCCACUAGACGGGCCCCCGGAGGCGUGCACAGAGAUCCCUCCGCCGUUACGACCUUAUAGAGCUAAAACUAUUCUACCGCCUGUACCUAAAGACGGUCGACGAACAGCUACUCGACGUCUCUCGCCACCACUCCAUAGUUUCGCCGUUCCGAAACACCGUCCGAUAGUGUCCGACGCGGUAGCGCGGAGAGAACUAGAUGGAACUAACGACGUUGAACUCCUUUCAAAGACUCAAACUAUGUGCCUGGGGAGCUUGGGUAAAGUACUGGCUACUAUUGGAAUUCUUCUAUAGGUAGCGACUGAACUAACUUUUCCCCCCAGGACUGGGGGUCUGGACCGAAAUGCCGUUUAAUGGCACCUUCCGAGUGUUCCUGUAUCACAUGAUAUUUAAUUAACAGUUUGGUUAAACAAGCCACGGCGGUUAACGUUCUCCACGGGUCGAGGCUGCAAGUAGCAGCUUCUUCUGGUAACUGGGGGUUCCCCGUCACCGACUACUGCGAGGUCGAGGUCGGCAGCUCCCGUCGUCAUUAUCGCAGUGAGGACUCAGGCUCUUCUCGUUACUAUUACAAAGUCGAUGUCGCGACUUAGUCUAGUUGCACGACGACCGUUCCCGUACGCUACAUAGCGCGGUUCACGGAUGAAGUUCACGGGCUGAGCCGGUGUGGCUCCCUUAAGAAGGUGGGCCCGUGCCAAAACUACGACUUCGGCGCUUACUCCCGGAGAGCUUCCUUCGGCGUGAAGAGAUGGGUCCGUGGCUCCGGAAAGGCCUAGGGGCGCGGAGGCUCUCCCACGGCAGGGAGCCGAGCCUCUGCCGCCGCCUCCUCCUCCUUCAACUGGAGGUCGCUGGUCUCCGCCUCCUCUCCUACCACCUCGAGCGUGCGCGUACGCCGUUCGACCCUUGCGGAGGCAUGGGGGUCGCGGCAAGCUCACGUGCGGAUGCCGGCGGCCUCCGCGGCCGCCGGUGUGUCAUGCUCAAACACUUCUCUAGGUGGUUCUCCUUCGCUCGAGCACCGUGGCGCAUACUUAUGCUUCGGUUAUACUUCGAAUUCGCCCCUAAGUUGUUCUGGUAGUCCACGAGCGAGUUCCUCAAUAAGCUCACGCGCCUCGACGAGUUCCUGGCCGUGGACAGCUCCCAGGCGUUCCGCCCCAAGCCGCGGUACAACCUGCCGUUCCAGUCCCCCGAGUAGUCGGCCGGAGAGUAGCCGAAGGAGUACCCGUCCUAUCUGGGUCGUUGGUACUGUUACUUCGAGCCCCUUAGUUUCCAGUAGCGAUAGUGGUCGCUGCGGUAAGUGGUGGAAAAGCCGGACGGAGUUCCUCCCGUGUGCCGGGGUUCCGGGCGCCUUUCGCCGAUGCUGUUCCGUCACUACUUCGACUUCGUUCUCGAGCCCAAAUUUUCCAGACUAUAGUAGUACUGCUCCCUAGAGGCCCCAGACGAAUUCGCCGACCACCUCCUGCUCCUCUUUCUACUCAACCGCGAGUUCCAAAAAAAGGACCAACAAAAGUACUUCCACUAGACGGGCCCCCGGAGGUGCGCGCAGAGAUCCCUCCGCCGUUACGACCUUCUAGACCUAAAACUAUUCUACCGCCUGUACCUAAAGACGGUCGACGAACAGCUACUCGACGUCUCUCGCCACCACUCCAUAGUUUCGCCGUUCCGAGACACCGUCCGAUAGUGCCCGACGCGGUAGCGCGGGGAGAACUAGAUGGAACUAACGACGUUGAACUCCUUUCAAAGACUCAACCUAUGCGCCUGGGGCGCUUGGGUAAAGUACUGGCUACUAUUGGAAUUCUUCUAUCGGUCGCGACUGAACUAAGUUUUCCCCCCAGGACUGGGGGUCUGGACCGAAAUGCCGUUUAAUGGGACCUUCCGAGUAUUCCUGUAUCACAUGAUACUUAAUUAACAGCUUGGUUAGACAAGACAGGGUGGUUAACGUUCUUCGAGGGCCGAGGCCGCAAGUUGCGGUUUCUUCUGGUACCUGGGGGUUCCCCGUCACUGGCUACCACUAGGUCGGGGUCGGUACCGCCCGUCGUCGUUGCCGCAGCGGGGGCUCAGAUUCUCCUCGUUGCUAUUACAACGUUGACGUCGGAACUCAGUCUAGCUGCACGACGACCGUUCCCGUACGCUGAAUAGCGCGGUUCACGGGUGGUGUUCGCGGGCCGAGUCGGUGUGGCUCCCAUAGGAAGGUGGUCCCGUACCAAAACUGCGACUUCUGCGCUUCCUCCCGGAGCGCUUCCUUCGGCGCGAAGAGCUGGUAGACGUCUUCCGGUGCAAGGUGGAGGCGAGAAGCAAGCGGGAAAAAUUCUCACACGUCCUGCUGGCCACGUCCGGAAUGCUUCUGUUCCGCUUUAGUCGGAGGUCCGUCCACCGUCUCCUUCUCCGACGACGAGUUCCUUCACUUUCUCUUUGUCUCCGCGGAAGGCUACUC